Molecule: ribosomal RNA, 484 nt
Filed under: uncultured bacterium
Lineage: Bacteria
Description: partial 16S ribosomal RNA
Rfam family: Bacterial small subunit ribosomal RNA
Source: RNAcentral
GACGAACGCUGGCGGCGUGCUUAACACAUGCAAGUCGAACGAUGAAGACGGAGCUUGCUCUGGUGAAUUAGUGGCGAACGGGUGAGUAACACGUGAGUAACCUGCCCUUGACUCUGGGAUAACUGCUAGAAAUGGUAGCUAAUACCGGAUACGACCCUCGGCGGCAUCGCCAGGGGGUGGAAAGAAUUUCGGUCAAGGAUGGACUCGCGGCAUAUCAGCUAGUUGGUGAGGUAACGGCUCACCAAGGCGACGACGGGUAGCCGGCCUGAGAGGGUGACCGGCCACACUGGGACUGAGACACGGCCCAGACUCCUACGGGAGGCAGCAGUGGGGAAUAUUGCACAAUGGGCGCAAGCCUGAUGCAGCAACGCUGCGUGAGGGAUGACGGCCUUCGGGUUGUAAACCUCUUUUAGUAGGGAAGAAGCGAAAGUGACGGUACCUGCAGAAAAAGCACCGGCUAACUACGUGCCAGCCGCCGCCGUAA